RNAcentral lists this ribosomal RNA (492 nucleotides) under uncultured bacterium. RNAcentral describes it as "partial 16S ribosomal RNA". It matches the Rfam family "Bacterial small subunit ribosomal RNA", at positions 29 to 507 of the family's 1533-position model. The record is from RNAcentral.
AGUGAACGCUGGCGGUAGGCCUAACACAUGCAAGUCGAACGGCAGCACAGUAAGAGCUUGCUCUUACGGGUGGCGAGUGGCGGACGGGUGAGGAAUACAUCGGAAUCUACUUUUUCGUGGGGGCUAACGUAGGGAAACUUACGCUAAUACCGCAUACGACCUACGGGUGAAAGCAGGGGAUCUUCGGACCUUGCGCGAUUGAAUGAGACGAUGUCGGAUUAUCUAGUUGGCGGGGUAAAGGCCCACCAAGGCGACGAUCCGUAGCUGGUCUGAGAGGAUGAACAGGCACACUGGAACUGAGACACGGUCCAGACUCCUACGGGAGGCAGCAGUGGGGAAUAUUGGACAAUGGGGGGAAGCCUGAUCCAGCCAUGCCGCGUGGGUGAAGAAGGCCUUCGGGUUGUAAAGCCCUUUUGUUGGGAAAGAAAAGCAGCAGGUUAAUACCCCGCUGUUCUGACGGUACCCAAAGAAUAAGCACCGGCUAACUUCGUG